RNAcentral lists this ribosomal RNA (465 nucleotides) under uncultured bacterium. Its description in RNAcentral is "partial 16S ribosomal RNA". It matches the Rfam family "Bacterial small subunit ribosomal RNA", at positions 338 to 795 of the family's 1533-position model. The record is from RNAcentral.
CCUACGGGUGGCAGCAGUGGGGAAUAUUGCGCAAUGGGCGAAAGCCUGACGCAGCGACGCCGCGUGAGGGAUGAAGGUCUUCGGAUCGUAAACCUCUGUCAGCAGGGAAGAACGGUCACUGUGCUAAUCAGCAGUGAAUUGACGGUACCUGCAAAGGAAGCACCGGCUAACUCCGUGCCAGCAGCCGCGGUAAUACGGAGGGUGCGAGCGUUAAUCGGGAUUACUGGGCGUAAGGCGCUCGUAGGCGGUAUGUCAAGUCAAGGGGGAAAUCCCCGCGCUCCACGUGGGAACUGCCUUUGAAACUGGCAACCGGGAGUGCGUGAGAGGAUAGUGGAAUGCCAGGUGUAGGAGUGAAAUCCGUAGAUAUCUGGAGGAACAUCAGUGGCGAGGGCGACUAUCUGGCACAUAACUGACGCUGAGGAGCGAAAGCGUGGGUAGCAACCAGGAUUAGAUACCCGAGUAGUC